GAUGAACGCUGGCGGCGUGCCUAAUACAUGCAAGUCGAACGAACAGACGAGGAGCUUGCUCCUCUGACGUUAGCGGCGGACGGGUGAGUAACACGUGGAUAACCUACCUAUAAGACUGGGAUAACUUCGGGAAACCGGAGCUAAUACCGGAUAAUAUAUUGAACCGCAUGGUUCAAUAGUGAAAGACGGUUUUGCUGUCACUUAUAGAUGGAUCCGCGCCGCAUUAGCUAGUUGGUAAGGUAACGGCUUACCAAGGCAACGAUGCGUAGCCGACCUGAGAGGGUGAUCGGCCACACUGGAACUGAGACACGGUCCAGACUCCUACGGGAGGCAGCAGUAGGGAAUCUUCCGCAAUGGGCGAAAGCCUGACGGAGCAACGCCGCGUGAGUGAUGAAGGUCUUCGGAUCGUAAAACUCUGUUAUGAGGGAAGAACAAAUGUGUAAGUAACUAUGCACGUCUUGACGGUACCUAAUCAGAAAGCCACGGCUAACUACGUG
This 497-nucleotide ribosomal RNA is filed under the name uncultured bacterium. RNAcentral's name for it is "partial 16S ribosomal RNA". It matches the Rfam family "Bacterial small subunit ribosomal RNA", at positions 28 to 507 of the family's 1533-position model. The record is from RNAcentral.